GGUACAACCGGGGCAGGAGUCGGGGUAAGGUGGAGGGGGGAAGCGUUAUCCGUGUUUACUGGGUUUAAAGGGUGGGUAGGAGAGCUGAUAAGUCAGGAGUGAAAGUUACGGGCUUAACUGGGAAACUGCCAUUGAUACGGUUAGGCUUGAAUAUCGUAGAGGUAAGCGGAAUGUUGCAUGUAGCGGUGAAAUGCAUAGAUAUGUUACAGAACACCGAUUGCGAAGGCAGCUUGCUAUGCCAAUAUUGACGCUGAGGCACGAAAGCGUGGGUAGCGAACAGGAUUAGAUACCCGAGUAGUC
Molecule: ribosomal RNA, 300 nt
Filed under: uncultured Ferroglobus sp.
Lineage: Archaea; Methanobacteriati; Methanobacteriota; Archaeoglobi; Archaeoglobales; Archaeoglobaceae
Description: bacterial SSU rRNA
Rfam family: Bacterial small subunit ribosomal RNA
Source: RNAcentral